Molecule: non-coding RNA, 922 nt
Organism: Tetranychus urticae (two-spotted spider mite)
Lineage: Eukaryota; Metazoa; Arthropoda; Arachnida; Trombidiformes; Tetranychidae
Source: RefSeq, a predicted model, not a curated record
ACUCUUAAGAGAGAGAUCACUGUACUUUAUUCUGAUCGUGUUUAACAAUAUUUUUGCUUCCAGUUUUAAAUUCAAUCAUGAAGUACACAUUAAUUCCAAAUAAAUCCGGUAUGAUAGUGAGAUACGGGAGUAAUUUAUCAACUUUUUGUUCUUAUUGUUCUAAGCAUCCUACUGUAGUGCGUCUUUUCGAUGCCCUCAAACGAAAAAAGCCUGAAGCAUAUGCUUACAAGAUAUUGCAAAAAUAUGGAGUUCCUAAAUGUAAAAAAGAGUGUUUCUUAUCUUUCAUUGAUCAAAAAAACCAAUAUAAUGCCAAUCAAGAAGAGCGAUGCAAGAAGAACCAAGAUCAAGCAGAUCAAGAAUCGCGACACCCACAAAACAAUUGUUGAAACCUGUAACGAAAACCAAACUAUGUAACCGCAAAUGGAAAGCCUUUAGCUUAUGCAGACGUAACAGCUACAAAUGGUGUUAUUCAUGUUCUCAGUAAACCUCUUUGAACAUUUCAAGCUCAAUUUUUCUUCUUUUGAUUGCAUUUUUUACGUUUGUUUGCGAAAUGAUUACCAAUGUGUAUUUCAUUAAUCGUCUCAGUUAUAAAUGUUACUUCAACAUUUCAACUAUCAAUGGUGAUUAAGGAUCGGUCGGUCAUUUUGGAAAGUUAAACUUACCCUUGAUAUUGCUCUGUAGUCAAUACUUUUGAUAUUUCUACCUUUCAACAUUUCUAUUCCAUUAGACUGAAACUAAUUGUCAGUUUCACUGUCUUUGCUAUUUUUGUAAAUUUCUUAUUUUUUGUAAUAUGAUUACUGAAUAAUUCAAGGUUAUCUGACGAUUUAAUAAAAACAUGUAACGCGUGUAAAAAAAUCAUUUGAGAUUGGUUUAAAGUUUAGCGGUGAACAAAUUUUUAUAUAUAAUAAAUUGGUUAAAAUUA